Molecule: ribosomal RNA, 433 nt
Filed under: uncultured bacterium
Lineage: Bacteria
Description: partial 16S ribosomal RNA
Rfam family: Bacterial small subunit ribosomal RNA
Source: RNAcentral
AACGAACGCUGGCGGCAUGCCUAACACAUGCAAGUCGAACGAGACCUUCGUGUCUAUUGGCGCACGGGUGCUUACCGCGUGGUAACCUGCCCUUAGGUUCCGAAUCCCUCCCCGAAAGGGGUCCUAAUACCGGUUAAUGUCUUCGGACCAAAGAUUUAUCGCCUUUUGAUGGGCCCUCGUUGGAUUAGCGAGUUGGUAGGGUAAAAGCAUACCAAGGCGACGAUCCAUAGCUGGUCGGAGAGGAUGAUCAGCUACACUGGGACUGAGACACGGCCCAGACUCCUACGGGAGGCAGCAGUGGAGAAUAUUGGACAAGGGGGGAAAGCCUGAUAAAGCAAUGCCGGGUGAGUGAGGAAGGGCUUAGGGUUGUAAAGCUGUUUUACACGGGAUGAGAAUGACAGUACCGGGAGAAUAAGCACCGGCUAACUCCGUG